RNAcentral lists this non-coding RNA (28 nucleotides) under Mus musculus (house mouse). The record is from RNAcentral. Lineage: Eukaryota; Metazoa; Chordata; Mammalia; Rodentia; Muridae.
UGAAACCAGAGGUACAGGUGUAAGAUCC